UGAAUGGAUCAAAAUACUGCUUUGGGGCUGUUUUUUUUUUUUAGAGGAAUGAACAUGGUAUUACAUUUAAAAAGUCGAUUUUACAUGAUUUAAGCGCCUUAAGGAGCUCAUCUGUGUCUAAAGCAUAGUAUAUUCUGUUAACCCUGUAAAGCCCACUCCAUCAGAUUUUUAACAUAGAGAUGAAUGAUUUGAAAUGAAUUUAAAAUGAAUGUUUACAUGAUACAUUUUUAUUCUUAACAGUUCUUCAUUCUGAUUAUUUUUGUCCAGAUAAAUACAGCUGAGACAUCAACAUCCCAUCACUAUGGCCAGCCUUCAGCUCACUGAACAGAGGUUAAGGCACUUACCUUCGGUACGAUACUACGUUAACCAACGCCGGUAAAGUGGCAUCCACAAUAUCAGGGACAUACCACCUCCUCUGGAAAACAGGCGUGUGCUGACCAGGGCGGGGGGAUUGACAACCUAUGAGAGCAAUGGAAAAAAAACAUUUUCUUGUUCUUCAAAAUGGAUAGCUAUUAUUACACUUAUUUAUUACACUUAUUAUUAUCUAAAGAUAUUACUAUUGUAAUUGUAAAUAGAGUUAUACUUCGCAGAAGUGAAGGUUCUAGGUGAUCUUGGUGUGAAAAAUGCAAUCAACUCAAAUCAUUCAAUUUCACAUUUUUACACAUCAGAAACUGGGUUUAUGUAUUCUUUAGUAUCUAAAUCAUAAUUUAAUCCAGGUUUGAGCAGUCCAGGUCCAGUGGUUUUUGAACAGCAUCCAGUUCUAGCUGAUUGUAGUCGCCAUGAUCAUGUUUGUUUAUAAUUCCCUUUUUUUGGUCACGUGAUUAGUUAAGACGUCAUUUAGGCACACCUGUCACCGGUGUUAGUUUGGUUUGUUGGUUUGAUACAGAGAGGGUGCACAGGGCCCAGUAUUUUUUGUUGACCGCUUUUAUACAUGAUUAUGAACUCUGCUUUGAUGGAUCAUAUCAUAUCUGUGGCAACAACAAAGUGGAAUAAACCACGACACACAAACAAAGUUGAUUUUUUUUUUAUAUUUUAUUUUCAAGUUUAAGUGAACAUAUGAUGUAAAACAACAACAAACAAAGUCAAAGGGGAAAAAUAACAACAAGCCCAAAAAAACAUGACACUUGCAAAAGGCAAGAGGCCAAAAUAAAUAAAUAAAAGAAAAAGAAAAAAAAAUAGCUUGCCAGAUUUAUCAUACUAAUCUAUAAACAAAUACACAAGUAAAUGUUGCAGUCAGACACAACUUGUACAAGAGAGGGGGAUGCAAAAUUACAUUUGCGACCCAGGUCCGGCACCUCUUCAAUUGUAGUCCUGUUGUUCGGUGUUGUAGUUCAAGUUAUGUUGCAGCGAACCAGAAAGGGUUUCCAAACAGUGUUGAAUCUAUACUGUGAACCAAAUCUGCAGGGCCUCAGCCUGUCUAGCCCAAUGGCAUAUAUGAUCUCAGCCAGCCAGUGUUCAAAGGACGGAGGAGUUGUUGAUUUCCAGUUUAGAAGAAUACGUUUUUUGGCCACCACCAUUCCCAACUGUAGAACUGUCUGUAUAUGUUGUGGCAAAUGGGAAGUUUGUGAAGAACAUCCAAAGAUGGCCAGGUGGCUAUUGGGCUGGUUAUCCUUAUCAUAUGCAUCAGAAAAGCAUUUAAAAAUCUUACUCCAGAAACUGUGCAACGAUAGACAAAACCAGAAUAAAUGACCCAGCGUACCUUCUGAUGUUUUACACCUGUCACAGGUAGCCGAGACAGCUGGAAAGAUUUUGUUCAGCUUCGUUUUGGAAUAAUGCAGUCUGUGCAGAACCUUAAACUGAAUCAACCUGAGUCUGGAACUGAUGGAGGAGCGGUAAAUUUUAGACAGUGCCUCAUUCCAGAAACCGUCAGGUACCUCACAGUUCAAAUCUGUAGCCCAAGCAUCUCUAAUCGAGUCAGAGGGGACCACAGUAGAGAACCAAGAAACAAAUUUAGAUAUGAUCCGCUUGGAGUCAGGGGGAAGUGAGAUGAGCUCAUAGAGGGGGUGUGUAGUUGGGAGGUCAAGGCUUGGACACCACGCCCUGACACAGUGUCUGACCUGAAGGUAACGAAAACAGUUACAAAACAGUUUGUAAAAACCUCACCAAAACCGAAUUUUUUCAGCGUUGCUAUGAGAUAUGGCCAUUCUAUCAUAUCGAAAGCUUUUUGAGCAUCCAGAGCCAGUAUGGCUGCCUUGUCUUUCUUUCCAUAUUUAGGUUAAAUGAUGAAAAGAUUCUCGAGCACCACUUCCAGUGUGUCUUUAGGCCUUGUUUGGAAUUAGUUUUUGAUUAAUUUAUCAUUAUUAAAAGCUUUAAAUGUGUCACAAUGUUUCAUUCAGCUCCAAAUGGCAAACAGAACGGCACCAACCUUUUUGGUCUGCAGUCAACAUCCAGAUUUUCAUGUCAGCUUGAACAAGUUGCUCAAUAGUUUACAUGAAAGUAUGUAAUAGUGUAAUAGUGUAAAUGAAAGUUUAGCCAUUUUGUUAAGAAAAAGAGAGAAAAAAUAGAAAAUUAACAAGUCAAGGGUCAAGGAAAGGGACUGAAAGUAGGGGAUAUGAGAGUAGCUAAUGGCAUUUAAAUAGAGGAGCAUUUGAGGUGUGUUCAAUGGUCCUAAAGUGAAAAUCUCAUCAGCGAAUCACGCAACACAAAAACAUUUGAAAGACCACGAUUAUUAAAACAAAACUAAUGUUAAAAAGAACAUGUUAAAGUCAAUGUAACUAUACUUUUUUAUUUUUUUUUAUAUUUAUUAUGUUCCUUUAACAUUCUAACAUUUAUGAUUGUUUCUUUUUCAGAUUUAUUAAAAUAUGUGAAAUGACUAAAUGACUGUGUGCACAUCAUCAGACGUGUCCGGAUGUGUCACUAAUCUAUAUUUUUGUAAUUGACAGUAAGUCUUUAAAAUGAUUUUGUGUCAAGUGAAAUGUGCUUCAGGGCCACUGUGGGUGUGAGUUCAUUAGCAAACUUUUUGAUUUAGAGACACAUUUAGCUGGUGCACUAACAGUCAUCUCUUUUUCCAUCUCCUCGAAGAGUUCAUCAAGUUUCUCCUCUCUUCCCUCCAUGGCGAUGCUGGCCUCAUGGAGUCUCUCUUUCCACCCCUGCACAUAGCUCUCUUCAAGUUGUUUAGAGCUUAAAACUAGGGCCCGUAGGCCGUCCUGUGCGUAUUUCUGUUUUGGUUAGAGUAAAAAUAUUAUUUUUAGUGUUACACAACGUGUCUACAUUGCAUGAAUAAAAAUAAUGCAGUUGUACAUUUCACAUUGAGAUGUUCUUGGGUAGCUUCUUUAAGUUUGUUGAAGGAGUGCAGUCUCUCAAAGACAACUGUGUCUGCUCCUUUGCAGAAGAGGGAGGUUUUUCCUUCAGGGCUGCACACUUUUUGACCGUUAAAAAAAGUUAGUAAAAAAGCAUAUUAGUCACUAUGCAUGAACAAAAGUAGAUUCAUGAUGUUUCAACCUCUUGCAUUUAGAGGCUGAUAAACUUGUUAUUGAGGAUUUAAAAGGAAAGGAAAGAUAUACAGGUUAGUUGUACUUUAUCUCAAUAAAACACAAAACUCAGAGCAAUGAGGAUCAGUUUUGAUGAAAAAAUGUAUACAUUUAGUAGGAUGUAAUACCACGCGUGUAAAGUUUAUCCAUUAUCUUGCAAUCAAAAAAUGAUAUUAAAAAAUGAUUAUUAAUGGUUUGUUCAUAAAAAGCUGUUUUUUUCUCCUCUAUCAAUAGGUGGUUUUAUUUUAAUGUAUUAGUUUUUACCCACCUAUGACUGACAUCCUCUUCCGCCUAUUGCUGAGGUCCAGGACAGCUACAAGCUCAUACACAAUUUUUUUGCCCAUCUGCAUGACUGUGAUGGUCUCUGGUGUGUGAGAAUGCAACACAAAGCCAAAGCUCCUAUCUGCGGUUACCACAGCGCUCUCAUUAGGUAACUGAGCCUGGUAGUUAAGUGUAAUGGGGGAAAAAAAGCACUAUUUGUUUUACUUCACUAAGUAAACUUCUUAUUCUACAUUCACACUAGUCUCUGCAACAUGUGUUCAAGUGGCUGCUUCCAAACAAAAGUCCAUGGAAAUGCACGUUUCGGGCUGCCGCAUUCAAAACGCUCACAUUAAUGUGUCACUAUGGAAGAUUUUAAGUCUGUUUGUCUACGAACAAAACGUGCGGCCAUUGAACUAAAAGUAAAAGGAUUUGACAAUAAUUCUUCUUUGUUUAUUUGUACACAUGUUUAAUUUUGACUUGAUUAUCUAGCAAGAAAUACUGGAAAACUUCACCUGUUUAGUACUUAAGUAUUUAUCUCUGUCUAAAUUUUACUUAACUUUAGGUCAGUGAAUCGGAUCAAAUCAGAUUGUUCAAAAUGAACCAUUAUCAACUAUGAAUCACGUUGUCAACCACUAAUUAUAUGAUUUGAAAUGUUAAAAUGAAUAUUACACAACUAAAAAGAGUUAACCUGCAAAGAUGACCAGGCCAAAGCACCAUUCAGUGUUUUUCAGGGUACAUCCUCUUAGCAGCACUUUGUCAUUGUCCAGACCAUGAGUAUGUCCUUUCACAGUCAUGGUUCCUUUGAACUUUUCUAAACGGUUGUUGGGGGUUUCAUAUUGCUCUUCACCUGAGAGGCAACAGUGUUGUGAGUAGUGAUGACAAACCAAAGUAUUACAGUCAUCAAUGUCAAUGACCUGUUAGCCCAGUUUCUUAUUGUGAGCAUACACUGGUAAAUUGCAUGGUUUUCUGAGAGUUUUUUGCAUGUUUUGCUGUGCUUGCUUUUACAAAUUUUUGCAUGCUGCGAAUGGACACGCCCCGUUGAUGCACUUUCCCUGAUCAGCUGAAAAGCAACACUGCAGACUGGUUGGAAUAAGCAAGAAGGUUGCAAUAAGCCUGCAUUUUGGAGUGCCUUUGGUGCUGCUGCUUUAUUUUUCCACGCAGGAGCCGCAGAGUGUCGAGGAAGCCCAGCCAGAAGUGACACGGGAAAGGAAUGCGUGACGCUGGACACACGCAGAGACAGAGGGGAACUCUGCCUGCCAUAUGCUUUUGCCCACAGGUCCUGAUGCGUGUGACCGGAGGGAUCCCUGUCCAUCUUCUAGAGGAGCCGGCUGGGCGAGGACGCCCCUCAGUUUUAGACUUGUGACUUUCUUAAUUGAAUCUGCUUUUAAUCCUGUGUUUUAACUUUUUCUUCCUUUUAGAACUUUUUAUAUAUUUUUGUAGUAGUUUUUAAUCUGGUAUCUCAGAGGCCGUUACCAUGUUUUGUUAACUGUUUUUGUAAAUAAAGUGUAUGCUUUGGCCAAGGGUCUGGUCCUCUUUGGUAGCAUCAUGUGUGCUGUCACUCAGUCCAUUUUUCUUACCUCAUAAUAAUCCUAUUCCCUUUUCCAUCCAUAGUCAAACCUCCAGUCCUUACAUUAUGAACAAUACACAACACUUUACAUGUUUAGAAAAAUCUUUAAAAGUCAUACAACUCAUGUUUAACCAGUUUUAAACAUGAGUUUGACAGACUUUGAUAGAGCAGUGUCAAUAUAAUCACUUCAGGGCAUUUGUGGCUUUCACUGGACUUUACAAACAAAGGAUUAAAUCAGUUCUGUGGCUUUUUCAUUUUUAGCUCUCAGACUCAUCUUAGAUUUUUUUGUCAUAAACUUUACAGCUGGCUGCAGCAAUAUAGAAUGCAGUUGCAGAAAUGGGCUGCAUGAGGAGUCUGUUGCAUUAGUUAUGAAGUGCAAUGACUGGAACAAGCAGAGAGGCAGUAGGAUAUGAAACUUUCAUCUGCUGCCUUCCCUGUGCGCUGAGACUCUGGAGGAAAAUAAGAAAAAUGGCGGGGCAGACCGUAAUUAACCUGUAACCUGCAGUGGUAGAAAAAUAAAAGAAUGCCCAUGACGACAUCAACAAAACUCAAGGCUGUGUAAUGAACAGAGAAGACAGAUUAUCAAGUUAAUUAAAUCUUUAAAUAGCAUUGACUUUAUGAUUCCUGUCAGCUUUGUGGGUUCAACAUUUUAGCAUCAAGGGAAAAUGAAGACUUUAAGCUGUGCUUCUUUACUUUCUACUCAAGAAUAAAGCAGUCAAUGCUUUUGUUUUUUUCAACUCAUGUAAAAAAAAAAUAUUGGACUUUAAACAUGAAUAGUAGUUCAAACCAAGAAGAAUGACGAAGGAUCAGACAAAUCAAGAUUCAGUAGUCAUAAAAUAUUUUCUUAAAUCAUACAAUAAGCUUUAUGAAUGAAAGUCAGGCACUUAAGUGAAGCCAUCUAGUUAUAUUUUUGCUUUUUAAAUAGUUGCGCUUGUUUUAAAUAUUUUAGGAGUUUUGCAUUAAAAUUUGACUUAAGACGGACUUAACUUUUCUUCUUUUUAACAUUACAGGGAGAAUAAACCUAAAACGAGAAACAAAAUAUUUGAAAUUAUCAAUGAUAAUGUUACCAGAAUGCAGAAUGGCUAGAAUUAAGGAGACGGCAGAGGGGUGAGAGAGUUCUGAUUUUUGACAGAUAAAUCAUCACAAGGGAUUUUUUUUUCUCAUAGGUUAUUUUUUUAUUUAAUCCUGUGUAACUAAUAUUACAGAAAAUCCAUGCAUUCUCUACGUGACACCAAGGAUGGAUAUUUGUGGGAACUUUAGCAUACAUGUUUUUUUUUUUACUUUAGCAUACAUGUUUGGUGCAAAAUUCCCUCCUUUUCAUUCUUUUCACCAAAGUUAACAACAACAAAAACAUAGCUUGGAGGCCAGAGCCUUUAUUUGAAGUUCAUGUAGUCUCAUAUGACUGCUCUUUAUCGUGCAUAAUUUGUGGAAAUAUAAAAGUAAAUGACCUUUUUAAAAUUUCUCACUAAGAACAACAAAUUCCAGCUCAAAAUGUGUGCAUGUACAUGUCUGUAGCAAAAUGUGAAACAUAAAAAGGCUGAAAAUGUUUUUUUAAAAGUGAAAAAGAUGUCGUUAUUUCUGCAACAAACAGCCUCCAUUCUCAGGUAAACUAAUAGCUAAUGUCUAAAGAACUCAGGAAACUGGAUCUUUGGUGGAAAUUUGAGUCUAAAAACAACCCGAGUGUCUGCAGGAAAGAGAUGAACCUGAAGGAGGUACAAGGACAGAAUAAUUAUCCAGGUUUGGAGAACAUCAGCGUGUUAUCAUUUUUUCAUUUCUAUGUUUCUAUUAAGAAUCACAUUUCUGAUCUAUGAAGUUUUCCAUUGUCACUGGAUUCCCCCCCCCCAUCAUACUGUGCUACAGGGGGGACUGCAUAUAAGAAGCUUCCUGAAUAUAUUUAUUUUCCUUCAAAGCAAGUGUGAAGCUGAGGUUAUGCAGCAUAAGUGAUCGCUGUAACAGGAUGAAAUUUCAAGUUGCAAAGUCAAAACAAGGACAGUUCCUCAGAGACGUCUUGUUGAUGCUGUGGUCUCACAGACCACAAACAGCCUGUCUUGAUGUCUUGUUUUCUGAGGUCAGUUUGAUGUCGAAUUGGUGCAAGAAAGGACAGUAAAACCAACUACAACAUUUAUUUGUUCGCACAGAUGGAAUGUUUGCUUUUAGGAUGCUUGUGGAGAAGCAGGUCAGAAGGAGGAGUCCAUGACAGACUACAGAGAGUCUGGAGUGCAAGAAAAGCAUGUUAGGUAAGGGGUCUGCAACCUGAGUCAGGCUCUGGGACCACAUCUGGAUCUUUGGCUGAAGACAAAAAUGUCAUUUCCUCAUCUACGGCUGGAUAGCUCCAAUGUUGUUGGCCAUUUUUGUUGCACAGGAAAUGUUAGGUUGGGGGUGUGAGCGGCUGUAAGCUAGUGGGAGAGCGCAAACAGAUAGGUGAUGGAAAAGGGGGUGGCUUACUCCGUGCCAGCAUUCACGCUCACAACUUAAAGGCGAAUUAUGAACUUCUGCCGCUCUGAAAACGCUUUUAAAAGCCUUUUCUGUGGAGUAUAAUUUUUUACCAAAAGUCACUGGUUACCACCCCCCUGGUUUUUGGUGUGAGUGAGCUGGGUGUACAGAAGAGAGUUAGUUGGAUGGUGGUUUUAGGUUGACGGACCGCUGAAGCGAGUUUCCAAAA
Molecule: long non-coding RNA, 7960 nt
Organism: Oryzias latipes (Japanese medaka)
Lineage: Eukaryota; Metazoa; Chordata; Actinopteri; Beloniformes; Adrianichthyidae
Source: RefSeq, a predicted model, not a curated record